ACAUACAUUUGGAUUUUGCACAAAUACAAUAUACCCUUAUACCCAUUUUUAAUGGGUUCAGAGUAUAAAAGCCUGAAGAAACUGUCGAGCGUGUGCGCCAUAAUUUUAUUUUCAUUCUUCCUGGAAGCAACAUUAUGACAUUUUUGUACUUUAUUUGGAGUAAGUUGACAUCAACCAAGAGCAUUCCGAAAACAUCCGACGAAGCCCAGCAGCUGGAGGAACAGAUUACACCGAAGGUUUAGUAAGGUUUAGGACGCAGAUCUUGAAGGAGACAGGAGUUAACACCAUACAUUACCCUUGCCCCUCACAACAACCAUAAGUGCCAACGGCACACAUUGAUCGCUGCCUAUAAGCUCUGUUCAAGUCGCCACUUCUCUUCGCUACAACAACGACCGCUGCUCAUGAACUCUCUUCAAGUGCCUCCUCAUAAACCAUUCUGCACGUCAAGCGUUUUGGGCGCAGCAGCAAUGUUGUCACCCGACACUGCCACGUCAACAUAUUAAACGCAACGACGACGUUGCGCUAGCUAAGCACUGGCCGUUGCCGGGUGUUUCGCUAUAUCCGCUGCAAUUAUGCUGACAUUCGAGCUGUGCAUAAAAACAUACAACUGAGAAUCGACAUCCACUUAUUUCAUUACCCAAGCAAUUCUUAGGCUUCCACAGGAGAAUGUUUCAUCAUUACUUGUUGAGGUAGUCCUUGAGACUGCCGUAAUUUAUAUAUGCGCAUAAGACUCUCUCGCUCUCUUAUACUGAUAAUACAUAUGCAUAUAUGCAGCCGCUACGCUGCUGGCGUAACCGGCAGCGCAGCUACGCGGUCUUAGCAUUAAGCACUUAUGUAUAUAGGCUAAGUGUACUUAUAGAUAUAUUCAAUAAAGCAUUCUAAAAACCAAACUCAAACGGCGUAGACGUGCCAGAUUUAUUUACUCGUCCCUCGAGUGUACAUGGCGACCGUGACAGGACUUCCGGAGGACCUUGGAAAAUCAACAACUAUAACAACAUAGGCGGCAGCAACAACAAAUGCGCCAACGGUAGCAACUUGGAUCUGAACAAUCGAGGGUGCAGCGGCGACCAAAAGAAUUCUGAAAGCUGCCUAAACUAAAGAAGAGAUGCCCCAACGAGUGGGAACAAGUGCGUAUCCAGCACCGGUGCCACUGCAGACAUCGAAGAAAUAGCAGCCUGUGCAGCCAGCACCGGCCCCGUCUAGCGCACCAAGCUAGACCUGGAGUAGUAAGCCGACAGCGCUACUGAGAGCGCCCACCAAACAACAUAAGUUUUUUUAAAUGCACUGCGAUGCAUAACACUCAAAAUUAAUAUAAAUCUCGUAAAAUUAAGCUCAAACAUUUCUACCCGAUUGUAGUGCGGCCCGUAAAGCCACGCAAAUGCUAGGCAGGAAAACAUGUAAACAAUUUUUUUUACAAUUCCAAACCAUUUAAUUUAAAUGGCAUAUCAAUAUGAAAAAAUCAGCUACUUAGUAAAAAAAUUAAUUAACAAUAUUAAUUAACAAAUAUAUAUGUCUAUAGAAACAAAUGAAAUAAGUAAAUUGGUGGAAAUUUUGCCAAAAAAAGGCAUUGUAGACGUAAAAAGUCGAAGUCGAAGACCCCGAUCCAUAACUAAUAACAAUACUUAUUGUUAUAAUUUUUAUCAUAAUACUAGCACAUCUAUUAUACAAAUUGUAUAAGUACCAUAAUAAAUGUAUUAAGAAGCGAUAUCAAAGCCAAGCAAACGACCUGGAUAAAAUUAAAAAAAAA
Drosophila virilis is the source of this 1747-nucleotide non-coding RNA. The record is from RefSeq and is a predicted model, not a curated record. NCBI's taxonomy places the organism in Eukaryota, Metazoa, Arthropoda, Insecta, Diptera, Drosophilidae.